Molecule: small nuclear RNA, 102 nt
Filed under: Prolemur simus (greater bamboo lemur)
Lineage: Eukaryota; Metazoa; Chordata; Mammalia; Primates; Lemuridae
Source: RNAcentral
GUGCUUGCUUUGGCAGCACAUAAAGUUGGAAAGAUACGGAGAAGAUUAACAUGGCCCCUGCACAAGGAUGACAUGCAAAUUUGUGAAGUGUUCCACAUUAAA